Molecule: non-coding RNA, 162 nt
Filed under: Peptococcaceae bacterium
Lineage: Bacteria; Bacillati; Bacillota; Clostridia; Eubacteriales; Peptococcaceae
Description: FMN sequence
Rfam family: FMN riboswitch aptamer (RFN element)
About the family: The RFN element is a highly conserved domain that is found frequently in the 5'-untranslated regions of prokaryotic mRNAs that encode for flavin mononucleotide (FMN) biosynthesis and transport proteins. This element is a metabolite-dependent riboswitch that directly binds FMN in the absence of proteins.
Source: RNAcentral
AAUUGCCUUCGGGGACGGGUGGGAUUCCCUACCGGCGGUGUGGCGCAAUUUGUGGCCGAGCCCGCGAGCCCGCAAGGGUUGAUCCGGUGGAAAGCCGGGGCCGACAGUUAACGGGUCUUUUACAUUACAGGACCCUUAAAGUCUGGAUGGUAGAAGGUGGAU